This 248-nucleotide ribosomal RNA is filed under the name uncultured bacterium. Its description in RNAcentral is "partial 16S ribosomal RNA". It matches the Rfam family "Bacterial small subunit ribosomal RNA", at positions 355 to 600 of the family's 1533-position model. The record is from RNAcentral.
UAAGGAAUAUUGGGCAAUGGACGCAAGUCUGACCCAGCCAUGCCGCGUGCAGGAUGACGGCCCUAUGGGUUGUAAACUGCUUUUGUACGGGAAGAACCCCUUCGAUUCUUCGGAGGCUGACGGUACUGUACGAAUAAGCAUCAGCUAACUCCGUGCCAGCAGCCGCGGUAAUACGGAGGAUGCAAGCGUUAUCCGGAUUUAUUGGGUUUAAAGGGAGCGCAGGCGGAAUGGUAAGUCAGUGGUGAAAU